RNAcentral lists this ribosomal RNA (480 nucleotides) under uncultured bacterium. Its description in RNAcentral is "partial 16S ribosomal RNA". It matches the Rfam family "Bacterial small subunit ribosomal RNA", at positions 28 to 523 of the family's 1533-position model. The record is from RNAcentral.
GACGAACGCUGGCGGCGUGCUUAACACAUGCAAGUCGAACGGUAAGGCCCUUCGGGGUACACGAGUGGCGAACGGGUGAGUAACACGUGGGUGAUCUGCCCUGCACUUUGGGAGAAGCCUGGGAAACUGGGUCUAAUACCGAAUAUACCCUGCUGGUCGCAUGGCCUGGUGGGGGAAAGCUUUUGCGGUGUGGGAUGGGCCCGCGGCCUAUCAGCUUGUUGGUGGGGUGAUGGCCUACCAAGGCGACGACGGGUAGCCGGCCUGAGAGGGUGACCGGCCACACUGGGACUGAGAUACGGCCCAGACUCCUACGGGAGGCAGCAGUGGGGAAUAUUGCACAAUGGGCGCAAGCCUGAUGCAGCGACGCCGCGUGAGGGAUGACGGCCUUCGGGUUGUAAACCUCUUUCAAUAGGGACGAAGCGCAAGUGACGGUACCUAUAGAAGAAGGACCGGCCAACUACGUGCCAGCCGCCGCCGUAA